Vigna angularis (adzuki bean) is the source of this 1068-nucleotide long non-coding RNA. RefSeq lists it as uncharacterized. The transcript is spliced from 2 exons. Lineage: Eukaryota; Viridiplantae; Streptophyta; Magnoliopsida; Fabales; Fabaceae. The record is from RefSeq and is a predicted model, not a curated record.
UGGCCAUGUUCAAAUGAAUAAAAAGAUGCAAGACCGUGGACACUUGCACUUUUUCUGCAGAAUUUAAUGCACACACCCUUUCUAUAAGCUAAUGACCGUCCACUUUGCUGCAUCCAUUCCAGCUGCACUCUCCUUUCCUCCUUCUUCAACUACGUUCCCUUCUCAUCAAAAAUCACUUCUCCCCUUUGUAACAAAUCCUUCUCUUCCUCUCUACUCUUUAGCAAGCAAAUAAGUGUGUGUGGUUUACUCUUCCAUACAGCAGAAACAAAUCAGCAUCUACAAGGUGACGGCAGUUCCUUUCUACUCUACUAUGAAAGCAAAACAAAUGAACAUGAUAUUUGGUUCUACACAAAGCCAUGAAUCAUCUUUUCAAAGGUUACAAGAUGCUAAGAGAUUGUAUGAAAAUGCAGAAAACCAAAUGGAAGAUGCAAUUACAAUUCAAGAAAGAAAAUAAACAUAAGCUAUUCAUUCAUCAUGAACAUGUUUCCAGUUCUCAAGGAAAAUCAUUCAAAGUACAAAGAAGCAAAGCAAAGUAAAGGAAACAAACUAGCUGCCUCUUGGUCUUGUGUCUUCUUCCAGUAGUGUUUCAAGAAUCAAAUACAGUUUUGCUUCCCUCUUCUAGCUCUCUGGACGUAUCAUCUCACACCAGCACCUUCUCUUCCUUCAUCAAGCCAUGAUCUCUGUAAUACUCUUGCUAUACUCCACGGGAAAAGAGAAAAGAUAGGAUGCCCCCAAAUUGCCGAGAGGAAGGAGGUUUUAAGAGACCCCAAAAAUCAGCAUGUGUGUUGUCUCUUUGUGCCAUAGAGUAGCGGCUGAUCCACCACCUAGUAGUUAGCCUUUUUCAUUUUUCUUCAAUCAAUCCCCUGUGCUUGGAUUUAGCUCUCCAAUUGGUGUUUCACGGGAUGACUUUGUUCUUGGAUCUAGCUCAUUCUACCUUUUCUCAAUUGUAUGUUGAAUUUUCCAAAGGUGGUAUGUGUAUGGCCGAGACUUUCAAGUAUGGUCACUUCCCUCAUUUAAUUUGUAAUGUGAAUUGUAUACAUAAGACAAUGCUAUUCUUUUCCAAAACAA